This 207-nucleotide ribosomal RNA is filed under the name uncultured bacterium. RNAcentral describes it as "partial 16S ribosomal RNA". It matches the Rfam family "Bacterial small subunit ribosomal RNA", at positions 568 to 774 of the family's 1533-position model. The record is from RNAcentral.
UUCGUAGGUGGUGCGGUAAGUUGGGAGUGAAAUCUCUGGGCUUAACCCAGAGGCUGCUUUCAAAACUGCCGUGCUCGAGUGCGAGAGAGGUCAGUGGAAUUGCAGGUGUAGCGGUGAAAUGCGUGGAUAUCUGCAGGAAUACCCGUGGCGAAGGCGGCUGACUGGAUCGCAACUGACACUGAGGAACGAAAGCUAGGGGAGCAAACA